RNAcentral lists this small RNA (488 nucleotides) under Arabidopsis thaliana (thale cress). Its description in RNAcentral is "ATSL298470". Lineage: Eukaryota; Viridiplantae; Streptophyta; Magnoliopsida; Brassicales; Brassicaceae. The record is from RNAcentral.
ACCAAACAGCAAAACAAGAAGAACAACAACACUAAGCAAAAAAGAAAAGCUCAAGCCGAGAGAGACAAUGGCAUCAACAUUCACGAGCUCAAGCAGUGUUCUUACCCCAACAACAUUCCUUGGCCAGACUAAAGCCUCAAGCUUUAACCCCCUUCGUGAUGUUGUCUCUCUCGGAUCUCCCAAGUACACUAUGGUCUGUUUUCUUUUUGGUCUUAAUCUCGUCAUAUUAAAGGUGUUUCAUCUUUCUUCUUGAGUUUGUGUCUGACUUUCACGUAAAAUGUCUAUGUGAAGGGAAAUGAUCUUUGGUAUGGACCUGACAGAGUGAAGUACUUAGGACCCUUUUCCGUUCAAACUCCGUCUUACCUCACCGGAGAAUUCCCUGGCGAUUAUGGUUGGGACACCGCCGGUUUAUCCGCAGACCCUGAAGCCUUUGCCAAAAACAGAGCUCUUGAGGUUAGUCUCUAAAUCUCACUCACUCAAUGUAAAAA